RNAcentral lists this long non-coding RNA (2520 nucleotides) under Homo sapiens (human). RNAcentral's name for it is "HSALNT0364837". Lineage: Eukaryota; Metazoa; Chordata; Mammalia; Primates; Hominidae. The record is from RNAcentral.
CCAUUUGCAGCGGGGAGGAGCCUGUUCCUGUGUGGCGACCUGGGCUUCAAUCUGUGAGGCGGGAAACCUGCUAGCAGGACUCUUGCUUUGUGGUCUCCUGUGAGAAGAACAUACCCCAGGUAGCCUCUUCUUUGAGAAGCACAAGGAAACACGUGGUGGUGGAACUGAACACAACCCACAGCCUGGAGCUAAACCCAACCUAAGCCAGCCAAGCUCUUCCAAGAUCACCCAAACUCAAGUUGACCUGUAGAUCCAUGGGCAAGGAAAGAAAUGCCUGCUGUUUUAAGAUCUCAAGUUUUAGGUUGAUUUGUUAUGCAGCAUUAUUGCAGUAAAAAUGAACUAAUACACUACCUAAUCCCAUUUUUCUAUUCAACAGUUAUUUGUUGGGUAGCUGAUAUGUGCCACACACUUAUAAUACAGGCUUCAGGGAUACCAUGGUUAAUAAAAUAAAGAGGGCAAAAGUAAAUGAACAAGAUAAUUUUGCAUUUUGACAAAUGCUAGGGAUAAGACAAGAUGAGUGAUGUGAUAAAUUGUGGUGGGGCUGUGGAAGAGGGCACAUUUAAUUUGGAUGGUCAGAGAGAGCCUCCUCUGGAAGGAAACAUUUGAAUGAGAUGAAUAACAAGGGCGAGGCUGCUAGAGGAUGAUCCAGCCACAGUGCAUUCCUGCAGAAGAGCCAGGGUGGAGGUCCUACGGUGGAAAUGAGUUUGGCUUAGGAACAGAUUCAAGUAUAUCUCAAAUAACUGAAAACUGUGAAAUUAACAUCAAAAGUAUUUGGAAGGCUAGAAGCUAGGCUGAUAUGUAGAAAUAAAACCCAGCCUCAGGAAGGAGCUGAGCCAGACUCAAAAACAAGGGGGGCAGCAAAGAGUGGUGGAUUCUGGGCUGGCCUUGCUGGCCACUCACUUGUCAGGGUGGGGUGGGUCAGCUGGCUUAAAUGUGCAGCUGGACAGACAGCUGCUGUUUCACUGCAUUGUCUCACUGCAUCUGUCUUCAUUAUCUGCAUCCUAUUUUGUGUUUCUUGGGCCAAUGUUUCCCAUCUCAGCUAGAGAUAUUUUACAUUGUUUUCACUGCAUGCAAAUAAUUUCACAAUUUUCUGUGGAAAGCCUUUGCUCCCUCCUUUCUUGUUUUUUUCCAAUUAUUUUAAUAGAAGUCGUGUGCAUACAUGGUUUAAAGAGUCAAAGAACUCUGUAAGGUUUAUUUUAAAAAACAGCCACUGUUAUGAGCAACACCCCCCUGCUGACAUUUCCCCAUUCCAGAGGCACUUUCAUCUUUUUUACAUGAUUGACAUUUCACCUUCCUGUCUCUAAAUAACAUACUUAAUACUACUUCUUGAUUUGCUAUUUUUAGGUAUUUUGUAUUGAUUUCCCUCAAUUGACUAGGAGGACUUAGCUUUCUUCCUUCUUGCUUCUUUUAUCAAACACCUUUCUAUUCUAUGCUAUCACCGUUCCCUCUUGGUAUAAUGUUAUGAUAAUUUUGCUGAGCUUAAUGUUUCAUUUGUAUUAUUAUGAUCACAUAAAUGCUUUUAAUAGCCAAACCAGAUGGUAAGAUGUAAUGAUAUUUCCUUUCUGUAGUAGGUGGCUUCUAAUAUGGUCCCCAGUGAUCUCUGAUGACUAGUAUUCAAGGCCUUGUGUAUUCCCCUCUCCUUGAGUGUGGACUGGGCUUAUUGACUUGCUUCUAACAAUUAGAAUACAGCGAAAACAAUGGAUGUCACUUCUAAGAUGGGGCUUCAUAAAGACCAGCUAUCAUUUUGGGCACUAUCUUUGGUUUGCUCACUCUUAGUGUGGUAGGUAGAGUUCUAAAGACAUCCCCCCAAAUUCUUACUCCUGGUUAUUCAGUCGAACACUAAUCUCAGUACUGCUAUGAAGGGAUUUUACAGAUGGAACUAAGGUUGUUCAUCAGCUGACCUUGAAAUGGAGGGAUUAUCUUGGAUCAUCCAGAUAGGCCCAAUGUAAUCACAUAUAUCCUUAGAAGCAGAAGAGCAAGGCAGGAGAAUAAGUCAGAAGAAGAAGGCAGGAGCAGGAGACAAGAGGCAGAAAGAGAGGUCAAAGAGAUCAGAAGUGUGAGAAAGCCUCAUUGGCUCAUUGGCUUUGCAGAUGAAGGGGGUUACCAGCCAGGGAAUGUGGGUGACUUCAGAAGCUGGACCCUGGUCAACAGCCAGCACGGACAUGAGGACCUCAGUCUUACAGCCAUGUGGAACUGAAAUCUACCAACCACCUGAAUGAGGCUGGAAGUGGAUUCUCCCCCGGAGCCUCCAGAUCAGAGCCCAGCCUGGCUGACAUUGAUUUCAGCCUUGUGAGAUUCAGAGCAGAGCCUCUGAGCUUACCUGGACUUCUGACCUAUGGAGCUGUGAGAUCAUAAGGGAGUGUUCUUUUAAGCUGCCAAAUUUUGGGGAAUCUGUUAUAGCAUCAGUAGAAAGCAAACACAUGUGGGAAGCCAGCUGUCAAGUUAUGAGCAUACAAAGGAAAUUGGGGAAGUGAUAACGUCAAGCAUUCAUCAUGAUAAGGCUUAUGUUAUUGAAUAAAA